GUUCAUACAGAAGUGUUUGAUUUAAUACUUCCCUACAAGAAGCAUUUGAUUGGAUGCUCAUAACUUAAAUGGAAUGGACAUUCAUCGAGGAAGCAACACUUCCAGAAUUAUGUUGCGGGAGGAGGCUUGGGUGACACCUCAGUGUGUCUUGGUGCUGGGGGAAAAGGAGUGCAUGCUUGUAUUCCAAACGCUACAGUGUUCCUUUUUAAUCAGUGAAUGUUGGUAAAACUUUCAGUUAAGU
Pelobates cultripes (western spadefoot toad) is the source of this 241-nucleotide non-coding RNA. NCBI's taxonomy places the organism in Eukaryota, Metazoa, Chordata, Amphibia, Anura, Pelobatidae. The record is from the annotation of a GenBank genome assembly.